AACUUUCGAUGGUAGGAUAGAGGCCUACCAUGGUGGUAACGGGUAACGGGGUGUUAGGGCACGACACCGGAGAGGGAGCCUGAGAAACGGCUACCACAUCCAAGGAUGGCAGCAGGCGCGCAAAUUACCCAAUCCCGACACGGGGAGGUAGUGACAAUAAAUAACAAUACGGGGUUCUUUCGGAUCUCGUAAUUGGAAUGAGUACAAUUUAAAUCUCUUAACGAGGAACAAUUGGAGGGCAAGUCUGGUGCCAGCAGCCGCGGUAAUUCCAGCUCCAAUAGCGUAUAUUAAAGUUGUUGCAGUUAAAAAGCUCGUAGUUGAAUUUCGGGGUCAAUAAGUUGGUCGUGCCAAUGGUAUGCACUGGCUUUAUUGAUUCCUACCUCUUGACGAACUGUGAUGCCAUUAAUUUGGUGUCGCAAGGAAUCAGGACUGUUACCUUGAAAAAAUUAGAGUGUUUAAAGCAGGCUUACGCUUGAAUACAUUAGCAUGGAAAUAAUGAAAUAGGACGUUUGAACCUAUUUUGUUGGNUUCUAGGAUCGACGUAAUGAUUAAUAGGGAUAGUUGGGGGCAUUAGUAUUCAAUUGUCAGAGGUGAAAUUCUUGGAUUUAUUGAAGACUAACUACUGCGAAAGCAUUUGCCAAGGAUGUCUUCAUUAAUCANAACGAAAGUUAGGGGAUCGAAGACGAUCAGAAUACCGUCGUAGUCUUAACAUAAACUAUGCCGACUAGGGAUCGGAUGAUGUUAAUUUUUAAUGACUCAUUCGGCCGCCUUACGGGAACAAAGUGUUGGGUUC
This 793-nucleotide ribosomal RNA is filed under the name uncultured Glomus. Its description in RNAcentral is "SSU rRNA". It matches the Rfam family "Eukaryotic small subunit ribosomal RNA", at positions 317 to 1114 of the family's 1831-position model. The record is from RNAcentral. Lineage: Eukaryota; Fungi; Glomeromycota; Glomeromycetes; Glomerales; Glomeraceae.